UACGGAGGGUGCAAGCGUUAUCCGGAUUCACUGGGUUUAAAGGGUGCGUAGGUGGAGUGGUAAGUCAGUGGUGAAAUCUCCAAGCUUAACUUGGAAACUGCCGUUGAUACUAUCAUUCUUGAAUAUCGUGGAGGUAAGCGGAAUAUGUCAUGUAGCGGUGAAAUGCUUAGAUAUGACAUAGAACACCGAUUGCGGAGGCAGCUUGCUACACGAUCAUUGACACUGAGGCACGAAAGCGUGGGGAUCAAACAGG
Molecule: ribosomal RNA, 253 nt
Filed under: uncultured bacterium
Lineage: Bacteria
Description: partial 16S ribosomal RNA
Rfam family: Bacterial small subunit ribosomal RNA
Source: RNAcentral